RNAcentral lists this ribosomal RNA (505 nucleotides) under uncultured bacterium. RNAcentral's name for it is "bacterial SSU rRNA". It matches the Rfam family "Bacterial small subunit ribosomal RNA", at positions 40 to 518 of the family's 1533-position model. The record is from RNAcentral.
CGGCGUGCCUAAUACAUGCAAGUCGAACGGUCUUUCUAUGGAAGCUGCUUCCACUGAGAAGAUAGUGGCGAACGGGUGAGUAACACGUGGGUAACCUGCCCAUAAGAGGGGGAUAACAUCCGGAAACGGGUGCUAAUACCGCAUAGUUUUCUUGAUCGCAUGAUCGGGAAAGGAAAGACGGCCUUUGUGCUGUCGCUUAUGGAUGGACCCGCGGCGUAUUAGUUAGUUGGUGAGGUAACGGCUCACCAAGACGAUGAUACGUAGCCGACCUGAGAGGGUGAUCGGCCACAUUGGGACUGAGACACGGCCCAAACUCCUACGGGAGGCAGCAGUAGGGAAUCUUCCGCAAUGGACGAAAGUCUGACGGAGCAACGCCGCGUGAGUGAAGAAAAGGUUUUCGGAUCGUAAAACUCUGUUGUCAGAGAAGAACAAGUUGGAGAGUAACUGCUCCAGCCUUGACGGUAUCUGACCAGAAAGCCACGGCUAACUACGUGCCAGCCGCAGC